CGGGAUAUAGCGUAGUCCGGUUAGCGCACCUCGUUUGGGACGAGGGGGUCGCAGGUUCAAAUCCUGCUAUCCCGA
RNAcentral lists this transfer RNA (75 nucleotides) under Alphaproteobacteria bacterium. RNAcentral's name for it is "tRNA-Pro". It matches the Rfam family "tRNA". Rfam says of the family: Transfer RNA (tRNA) molecules are approximately 80 nucleotides in length. Their secondary structure includes four short double-helical elements and three loops (D, anti-codon, and T loops). The record is from RNAcentral. RNAcentral also lists the same sequence under 2 other names. Lineage: Bacteria; Pseudomonadati; Pseudomonadota; Alphaproteobacteria.